This is a small nuclear RNA of Suncus etruscus (white-toothed pygmy shrew), 163 nucleotides long. RefSeq annotates it as U1 spliceosomal RNA. The transcript has a single exon. NCBI's taxonomy places the organism in Eukaryota, Metazoa, Chordata, Mammalia, Eulipotyphla, Soricidae. The record is from RefSeq and is a predicted model, not a curated record.
AUACUUACCUGGCAGGGGUGAUACCAUGAUCAUAAAGGUGGUUUCCCCAGGACGAGGCUCACCCAUUGCACCCUGGGUGUGCUGACCCCUGCGUUUCCCCAAAUGUGGGAAACUCAAGUGUGUAAGUUGUGGUAGUAAGAGACUGCCUUCGUGCUCUCCCCUG